GAUGAACGCUGGCGGCGUGCCUAAUACAUGCAAGUCGAGCGAACAGAUAAGGAGCUUGCUCCUUUGACGUUAGCGGCGGACGGGUGAGUAACACGUGGGUAACCUACCUAUAAGACUGGGAUCACUUCGGGAAACCGGAGCUAAUCCCGGAUAAUAUUUCGAACCGCAUGGUUCGAUGGUGAGAGAUGGUUUUGCUAUCACUUAUAGAUGGACCCGCGCCGUAUUAGCUAGUUGGUAAGGUAACGGCUUACCAAGGCGACGAUACGUAGCCGACCUGAGAGAGUGAUAGGCGACACUGGAACUGAGACACGGUCCAGACUCCUACGGGAGGCAGCAGUAGGGAAUCGUCCGCAAUGGGCGAAAGCCUGACGGAGCAGCGCCGAGCGAGUGAUGAAGGUGUUCGGAGCGGAAAACCCUGUUAUUAGGGAAGAACAUACGUGUAAGUAACUGUGCACUUCUUGACGGUACCUAAUCAGAAAGCCACGGCUAACUACGUG
This 497-nucleotide ribosomal RNA is filed under the name uncultured bacterium. RNAcentral's name for it is "partial 16S ribosomal RNA". It matches the Rfam family "Bacterial small subunit ribosomal RNA", at positions 28 to 507 of the family's 1533-position model. The record is from RNAcentral.